GACGAACGCUGGCGGCGUGCCUGACACAUGCAAGUCGUACGGUCCGUGAUUGAUCAAGCUUGCUUGAUUGGUCGUGGAUAGUGGCGGACGGGUGAGUAACGCGUGAACACCUACCCAUUGGAGGGGUACAACCCGUCGAAAGGCGGGCUAAUACCGCGUAAGCCGCGAGGUGAAAGGCUGCCUUUUGGUGGCUGCCGAUGGAUGGGUUCGCGUCCUAUCAGCUGGUUGGUGGGGUAACGGCCUACCAAGGCUAAGACGGGUAGCCGGUCUGAGAGGAUGGCCGGCCACACUGGAACUGAGACACGGUCCAGACUCCUACGGGAGGCAGCAGUGGGGAAUAUUGGGCAAUGGGGGAGACCCUGACCCAGCGACGCCGCGUGAGGGAAGAAGGUUUUCGGAUCGUAAACCUCUGUUGUACGGGAAGAAGGAAUUGACGGUACCGUACGAGGAAGCCCCGGCAAACUACGUGCCAGCAGCCGCGGUAAGCUCGUCUCUA
This 496-nucleotide ribosomal RNA is filed under the name uncultured bacterium. RNAcentral describes it as "bacterial SSU rRNA". It matches the Rfam family "Bacterial small subunit ribosomal RNA", at positions 28 to 533 of the family's 1533-position model. The record is from RNAcentral.